Danio aesculapii is the source of this 271-nucleotide long non-coding RNA. RefSeq lists it as uncharacterized. The transcript is spliced from 3 exons. NCBI's taxonomy places the organism in Eukaryota, Metazoa, Chordata, Actinopteri, Cypriniformes, Danionidae. The record is from RefSeq and is a predicted model, not a curated record.
UUGGGGCGGUCUUUGUCUUUUGGAGGUUGGAUUGGAGCAGAAGGAGACUCACAAGGGGAACGGUGGAGAUAUACUAGAAGAUCUGGAGCUCAGGAAGCAGAUUGGCAUGGAGCAUGUGGAGGAACAGGGAAACGAACCUCAGUAAUAACAAGUGCAUCGUAAUAAAUUAGGCUUGGAGACUGUAGACAGAUACCACAGAGGGCAAACAGGACAAAGAUCAGAUGAGGAACCAGGAGACACCACACUAGGAGAAACAUGGAAGACACUGCAG